This 256-nucleotide long non-coding RNA is filed under the name Mytilus galloprovincialis (Mediterranean mussel). Lineage: Eukaryota; Metazoa; Mollusca; Bivalvia; Mytilida; Mytilidae. The record is from RNAcentral.
GCAAAACAACUCAAACGGGAAACUUACGGCCUGAUUUAAGUACAAAACAAUGAUAAAAAUACAAAUAUGAUGAACAAUACCAAAAGACACCAUUUAAUUACAAGCCCUUCUAACAGCAUGUGAACGGGCGUUUUCUUGUUUUGGUCUAUUACAUCCAGUUUCAUAUACAAAAAUAACACAACCAAUUAAACAAACUAACGUGUGACAAUUCUGCAUCUAUUGGUAAUAUUUUGCUUAAAUUCAAACCAAAAACGAC